Molecule: ribosomal RNA, 494 nt
Filed under: uncultured bacterium
Lineage: Bacteria
Description: partial 16S ribosomal RNA
Rfam family: Bacterial small subunit ribosomal RNA
Source: RNAcentral
GACGAACGCUGGCGGCGUGCUUAACACAUGCAAGUCGAACGGAAAGGCCUGCUUUCCCUUGUGGAUUGCGGGUACUCGAGUGGCGAACGGGUGAGUAACACGUGAGUGAUCUGCCCCCAACUUGGGUAUAAGCCUGGGAAACUGGGUCUAAUUCCCGAUAGGACUGCAGGGUGGUGCCUGUGGUGGGAAACGAUUUUCUAGUGGUUGGGGAUGAGCUCGCGGCCUAUCAGCUUGUUGGUGGGGUAAUGGCCUACCAAGGCGGCGACGGGUAGCCGGCCUGAGAGGGUGGACGGCCACAUUGAGACUGGGAUACGGCCCAGACUGCUACGGGAGGCAGCAGUGGGGAAUAUUGCACAAUGGGCGGAAGCCUGAUGCAGCGACGCCGCGUGGGAGAUGACGGCCUUCGGGUUGUAAACUCCUUUCGACCGCGAGGAAGCCACCUGGUUGGAAGGGUGGUGACGGUAGUGGUAGAAGAAGCACCGGCUAACUACGUG